GACAGAGGUGCCGAGCGUUAGGCGGAAUCACUGGGCUUAAAGCGUGUGUAGGCGGACCGUUAAGUACCUUGUGAAAUCCCCCGGCUCAACCGGGGAACGGCUGGGUAUACUGGCGGUCUUGAGCCAUCCAGGGGCAGUCGGAACAGACGGUGGAGCGGUGAAAUGCGUAGAUAUCGUCUGGAACGCCGAAGGUGAAAACAGACUGCUGGGGAUGC
RNAcentral lists this ribosomal RNA (215 nucleotides) under uncultured bacterium. Its description in RNAcentral is "partial 16S ribosomal RNA". It matches the Rfam family "Bacterial small subunit ribosomal RNA", at positions 524 to 738 of the family's 1533-position model. The record is from RNAcentral.